UACGAAGGGGGCUAGCGUUGUUCGGAUUUACUGGGCGUAAAGCGCACGUAGGCGGAUCGUUAAGUCGGGGGUGAAAUCCUGGAGCUCAACUCCAGAACUGCCUUCGAUACUGGCGAUCUUGAGUCCGGAAGAGGUGAGUGGAACUCCUAGUGUAGAGGUGGAAUUCGUAGAUAUUCGGAAGAACACCAGUGGCGAAGGCGACUCACUGGACAUGUAUUGACGCUGAGGUGCGAAAGCGUGGGGAGCAAACAGG
This 253-nucleotide ribosomal RNA is filed under the name uncultured bacterium. Its description in RNAcentral is "partial 16S ribosomal RNA". It matches the Rfam family "Bacterial small subunit ribosomal RNA", at positions 524 to 776 of the family's 1533-position model. The record is from RNAcentral.